AGGCGCCUGCGCUAAACCGGCUUCUCGGCGCCAUUUUGUCUGAGCGGCGGUGGUCGCAGCUCUAUCGCAUUUUACGUUUCUGGCGAGACGAGAGCCGACUGUGUAUCCUGUAGAUUCAUUUUAGUGCGGCACCUAUCCACGGUUCACUCCAGGACAGCACCUUGUGAAGGUCGGAGGAGUCGCGAACCUGUCAAAAGGUCGGUUGGAAGCUGUGGCUGUCCGAGUGACUAGGGGAUGGCGCAGCUUUAGCGGCACCGGCACCGGAAGUGGACGGGCCGCGCGGCGGCCAUGGCAAAGUGGUCUGAAGAAAACCAAAAUCUCUCAGUGACAUAUCCUAGAGAAUUACUGAGAAUAAACCUCAUUUUGUGGGAAAAUGAAGGAAGAUGUUCCAGUUUUAAAAGACCUGGAUCUACUGUUGAAAAUUCUGUUUCUGGUCCCUUUAUGAAUGAUGGAAAUAGAAGCAAAUGGAUAGUCUUAAUCAGAUAAGUGCUUUAAUAGUCUAAAUAUAUUUUUUAUAAUCCCUAACCUAAAACUUGAUUCUUUAAAACAUUUUUGAUUUCUCUUUUCAGGUGCCCAUAUCAAGAGAGUUUACAGUAAAUAAGGUACUGGAUCUUUUCUGAAAAUAAAUUUAUAAUCUUAUCAAAGUAAAAUGUACCAGCUUUUUUCCCCCCACAAAGGCUAAUCAAUAUUUCAUUGGUGCAAUUACAGAGUGCCUCCCACAGUUGAACCUAGAUUAUUAAUUUUAUAUAUAAUAUGUAUGAAAGUCUCAUAGCUGAAAUAGGUAUAUCUGUUUAUACAGUUUUCCAGUUAUCUAUGUUACAGUAUCUAUAGUUUUUAGGUGGCUUCUCUCUUCAAAGUUAGAAAUUUCUUUAGAACCAGUGUCUAUUCUUUUAAAGGGCUUUUUUUAGCUAUACUGAUGUGAAUUUUUUGUUUCAAGGAACCUCUCUAUGCCCAUCAUGGGGCUUGAACUCCCCACCACCCCUGAGAUCCAGAGUCACAUGCUCUACCACCUGACCCCAGGUGCCCCUAUACUGAUGUGAAUUCACAGCACAAUAGAAUAAAAUGUAGCAGGUAGUUUUAUUUUAUAUAAAAGCUGUGGUAAUGGUAAAUAAUCUUGACUUGUUUGUAUAGUAGUUAGCUACUCAUGUCUAAUGAUUUGCUAUUUGAACUACAGAGAUGUUCAAAGUCCAGCAGUAUCCUGCUGCUAAACUCCAAUGAGUACAUGACCUUCUUAGGAAAGCAUGACAGUUGAGAGUGAUACUGGCAUGAACCCAGUAAAGGGUGUGUAGACUUGGCAUACUUGGCCUGAGUUACAAACUGUUUCUUCCUGCUUUGAGUACUGUUCAGGUUAUGACAGUGGUUCUUACAGGCCUCAAUACCAAUUGUAGUCUAACUUCUUAUUUAGCUAAAUCUGGGUACUUUAGUUGAACUUUACAGAUCAAGAAAUUUUUGAAGUGACAGAAUAGGGACUUUGUGGCUCCUUAAACCCACUCCUCACCGCAAUAAAAGGGAAAAAAAAUUCACUUUUGAGCCUAAAACCUUUCUUAUGUGUCACACUUCAAGGUUAACAGUGGCUGCUGGCCAACCGUCAUUUUACUAAAUGUAAAACAGAGUAGCGGCAUCAAAUAAUACCUACCGAGUUGGUAGGGACUUACUUCACAAAAGCCCAGCGAUAAAUGAUCUUUAGAUUCUAGGCGAGUGAUGAAAUGGAACUCUGAAUGAAUG
This is a long non-coding RNA of Prionailurus viverrinus (fishing cat), 1725 nucleotides long. RefSeq lists it as uncharacterized. The transcript is spliced from 4 exons. The record is from RefSeq and is a predicted model, not a curated record. NCBI's taxonomy places the organism in Eukaryota, Metazoa, Chordata, Mammalia, Carnivora, Felidae.